UACGAAGGGGGCUAGCGUUGUUCGGAAUUACUGGGCGUAAAGCGCACGUAGGCGGAUAUUUAAGUCAGAGGUGAAAUCCUGGAGCUCAACUCCAGAACUGCCUUUGAUACUGAGGAUCUUGAGUACGGGAGAGGUGAGUGGAACUGCGAGUGUAGAGGUGAAAUUCGUAGAUAUUCGCAAGAACACCAGUGGCGAAGGCGGCUCACUGGCCCGUUACUGACGCUGAGGCACGAAAGCGUGGGGAGCAAACAGG
RNAcentral lists this ribosomal RNA (253 nucleotides) under uncultured bacterium. RNAcentral's name for it is "partial 16S ribosomal RNA". It matches the Rfam family "Bacterial small subunit ribosomal RNA", at positions 524 to 776 of the family's 1533-position model. The record is from RNAcentral.